UGCUCUGUUUUAACCUUUUCAGGUAAGACCAGGAGGUGCCGAACUUGAUCAUGAUGAUUCUGAUGAUUACAAAUCUCUGCAGGAAGGAUAUGUGAGUGUAUAUAAAUGUCGUUUUACUAACCAUUCAUCCUAGGGCAGUGGUUAAACAACUCAAAGAAAGAAAGCUCAUCUUGGAAAACAAAAAUGACAUUGUUUUUAACUUCAUUAAAUACACCACUUCCCAAUACAAACUUUCCUUUUCCUGGUUUUAGAAGUGGCACUUAGAAAAACAGUUAUAAGUAAAUAUAGCAAUUGCUGCACACACAAAUUUUGGCUAACAUAGUUAGCAAUUUUGUAUUUUUAGAUUACUGUUACUCCUCUUGCUGCUAUAUCUCAUGCGGAGAUAGAUUGCCAGAACUACUUUAAGGAUUGGCUACCAAGUGUCUCCGAACCCCCCUCAUCAUCUGCUUUAUAGUGCUGUAAGACCUCUGAUGCAGUUUUGAACUUUUGAUUUUAUAUGCCAACUUUAAUUGCAAUAUACUGCUAUCAAUAGUUGUAGCUUAUAAUUGUUGCCUAUAAUGUUCCCACUUCCCAGUAUUAUUUCAAUGGUUAUCAUUUGUGAAUGUUUUUUCUCUGCAGAUUACUCUAGUUUGCUGAAAGUGAUUUCAACUCAAUCAGCUGCUAAAGAGAUUAUUUGCUAGUAUCCAUGUCAGUGUCACCGUUCCAUUUUUGUCAAGGGGCUUGAAAUAUAUUUUUCCCUCAGUUUGUUAUAUGAUUGGCUGAGAAACCCUAUUUUAUGAAACCUAAUAAGGGUGUUUCCGAUACAUUUGUGAGACUCUUAAAUUACUUUUUAGCAUACUAUUCCAAACACAUACUAAAAUGUCAACUGUUGUAUGUAAACUGAAUGUCAGAUUGACUAGGUUAUCGCCUAUGCUGAACUACAAGAAGUGAAAUAAGGAACAAAUUAAGAUAAUUUUUUAAAUAAGAACUUGGUAUAUGCUUUAAAAACAAACUUUGAAAGAGUCUUGGGUUGGUGCUGUAGAAGUUAAGAGGGGGAAAAGAAAUCACUGUUUGUCAUAGAGAUUAUAAACAUUUUAUGUACAUUAGGAGUCUCUUUUCAAUUCUGUGCCGUGGCCAUGGCCUUGCAUCUUGAUGGCAAAGAAGGUGAAUUUGAUUCCACUAGUAUUGACCGGAGGACAUGCACGUCUUCACAGGGGCAAGACUUGACAUCUUCAUACAGAAUGUAAAUCCCUCUUCCUGAAAUGUUAGCAAAAUAUGUGAAACAUCAUAAAGGGGGUUGAAAGGAAGGAAGCAUUGUAGUUCCCCCAGUAGAUUGAAGGUGGCAAGAAAAAGAUAGUGUUUAUGUGUAAAGAGAGGCAUGUUGGGUGUAUAUCGAAUAGAAUUUUUAGCUGUUGUUCAUUGAUUUUGAAUUUUCUAUGAAAUUAGUAUACAUGCAUGUGUCUCAAUCCUAAUUUCUUUCUUUAUCUAUGCUAUAUUCCACUGAGCACGUGUUUCAAAUUAGUUCAUAAAAAGCUUUAUUUACCUUGAGUUUGUUUCAAGAAUCAUACUGUGGGGUAUUUACAUAUGAGAGGCAUAACCCCCAACCAAGGAUGAUUUGUUUGAAUUAAUGGUUAGGAAGCAUGAACGACAGCACCUAUUCUCUCAUCUCAUCUCCUCACCUACGUGGACACAUCAUGCUGAUGCCAACUUUAUAUCUACAUGAGAUUACCCAAUGGCACUUCACCAC
This 1726-nucleotide long non-coding RNA is filed under the name Lupinus angustifolius (narrow-leaved blue lupine). RNAcentral's name for it is "long non-coding RNA (LANG_LNC001386)". The record is from RNAcentral. Lineage: Eukaryota; Viridiplantae; Streptophyta; Magnoliopsida; Fabales; Fabaceae.